RNAcentral lists this long non-coding RNA (752 nucleotides) under Pelusios castaneus (West African mud turtle). Its description in RNAcentral is "lncRNA (ENSPCEG00000007376.1)". The record is from RNAcentral. Lineage: Eukaryota; Metazoa; Chordata; Testudines; Pelomedusidae.
GCCCCGAGGGGCAGCGUGCUUCGCACCCGGGGUACUCACCGCCGCGGACACCUCGCCGGGCUCCUCGCUGAGCAGCAGCGCGGCCAGCAGCAGCCCAACGACCCGCCACAGCUUCAUCCUCCCGCUCCCACCGAAAGCCAACAGAGGGGCUCGCCUGCCCAGCUCCGCGCGCGUCUCGCCUCCGCCCCGGCUGCAGCGCCUCUAGAGCCGAGCGGCGCGGGCUGCCCAGGUCCCCGCUCUGUGGGCGGCUGCCCCCUCCCCUCGCGGGGGGGUGGAGACCCUGCGAGCGAAGGGGGCCGUCUGGCGCCUCUCAUCCACCUCCGCUCCGGCCAGUGCGGCUCCUGCCUCCCUCGCCCCACGGCAGCCACUCGACUUCUCGCCGCGGGCGGGGAGGACUCCAGCCCCUGGCCUCGUUGCAAAGCGGGACGCGCCGCGCCUGAGCCGAACGAGCUCUGGACUCCAGGGGGGCUUCUGGGACAGCAGAGCGUCGCUGCCGGGAGCACCGCAGGGAUGAGAGGCGGGCGGUUUCUCGUCUCACGCUGGCAGCUUUGGCGGGUCCUGUUGCUCUUGGUGGUGACCUCGCUGCUAACUGGUAGAGUAAAAGCUGGUGGAAAAUCUUACACAGGACCAUGCGGAGGAAGAGACUGUAGUAGAGGAUGUGAAUGUUUCCCUGAAAAAGGAGGCCGUGUAAGUGCCAAUGUCUUCCUCUCUGAACAGUUAUAUAUUAUACUCUAGAGGUCAGAUCCAAAAUU